CUAAAUGGAACCGGGCCUUCGACCUUGCUCAAGUUAGGGCGAGGUUCUCCUCCUGUCCCUAACAGGGCUGUGGGGGCACAUAUGGGCGUUGUAAGGCCUCUCCCCCCAUACGGUCUAAAUAGAACCGGACCUUCGACAUUGCUCAAGUUAGGGCGAGGUUCUCCUCCUGUCCCUAACAGGGCUGUGGGGGCACAUAUGGGCGUUGUAAGGCCUCUC
Molecule: long non-coding RNA, 216 nt
Filed under: Elaeis guineensis (African oil palm)
Lineage: Eukaryota; Viridiplantae; Streptophyta; Magnoliopsida; Arecales; Arecaceae
Description: long non-coding RNA (EGUI_LNC080345)
Source: RNAcentral